Molecule: ribosomal RNA, 429 nt
Filed under: Acidobacteriota bacterium
Lineage: Bacteria; Pseudomonadati; Acidobacteriota
Description: Acidobacteria bacterium partial 16S ribosomal RNA
Rfam family: Bacterial small subunit ribosomal RNA
Source: RNAcentral
UGGGGAAUUUUGGACAAUGGGGGAAACCCUGAUCCAGCCAUCCCGCGUGUGCGAUGAAGGCCUUCGGGUUGUAAAGCACUUUUGGCAGGAAAGAAACGUCAUGGGUUAAUACCCCGUGAAACUGACGGUACCUGCAGAAUAAGCACCGGCUAACUACGUGCCAGCAGCCGCGGUAAUACGUAGGGUGCAAGCGUUAAUCGGAAUUACUGGGCGUAAAGCGUGCGCAGGCGGUUCGGAAAGAAAGAUGUGAAAUCCCAGAGCUCAACUUUGGAACUGCAUUUUUAACUACCGGAGUAGAGUGUGUCAGAGGGAGGUGGAAUUCCGCGUGUAGCAGUGAAAUGCGUAGAUAGGCGGAGGAACACCGGUGGCGAAGGCAGCCUCCUGGGAUAACACUGACGCUCAUGCACGAAAGCGUGGGGAGCAAACAGG